GCCCCGUUCGUCUAGCGGCCUAGGACGCUGGCCUCUCACGCCGGUAACACGGGUUCAAAUCCCGUACGGGGUACAA
RNAcentral lists this transfer RNA (76 nucleotides) under Corynebacterium glutamicum. Its description in RNAcentral is "tRNA-Glu". It matches the Rfam family "tRNA". From Rfam's summary of the family: Transfer RNA (tRNA) molecules are approximately 80 nucleotides in length. Their secondary structure includes four short double-helical elements and three loops (D, anti-codon, and T loops). Further hydrogen bonds mediate the characteristic L-shaped molecular structure. tRNAs have two regions of fundamental functional importance: the anti-codon, which is responsible for specific mRNA codon recognition, and the 3' end, to which the tRNAs corresponding amino acid is attached (by aminoacyl-tRNA synthetases). tRNAs cope with the degeneracy of the genetic code in two manners: having more than one tRNA (with a specific anti-codon) for a particular amino acid; and 'wobble' base-pairing, i.e. permitting non-standard base-pairing at the 3rd anti-codon position. RNAcentral also lists the same sequence under 10 other names. Lineage: Bacteria; Bacillati; Actinomycetota; Actinomycetes; Mycobacteriales; Corynebacteriaceae. The record is from RNAcentral.